GAUGAACGCUAGCUACAGGCUUAACACAUGCAAGUCGAGGGGCAGCAUGUCGGUUGCUUGCAACCGAUGAUGGCGACCGGCGCACGGGUGAGUAACGCGUAUCCAACCUACCCUUGUCCAUCGGAUAACCCGUCGAAAGGCGGCCUAACACGAUAUGCGGUUCACCGCAGGCAUCUAAGGUGAACGAAAUGUGAAGGAGAAGGAUGGGGAUGCGUCUGAUUAGCUUGUUGGCGGGGUAACGGCCCACCAAGGCGACGAUCAGUAGGGGUUCUGAGAGGAAGGUCCCCCACAUUGGAACUGAGACACGGUCCAAACUCCUACGGGAGGCAGCAGUGAGGAAUAUUGGUCAAUGGACGGGAGUCUGAACCAGCCAAGUAGCGUGCAGGACGACGGCCCUAUGGGUUGUAAACUGCUUUUAUAGGGGGAUAAAGUGUGCCACGUGUGGCAUAUUGCAGGUACCCUAUGAAUAAGGACCGGCUAAUUCCGUGCCAGCAGCCGCGGUAAUACGGAAGGUCCGGGCGUUAUCCAGAUUUAUUGGGUUUAAAGGGAGCGUAGGCCGUCUUAUAAGCGUGUUGUGAAAUGUCGGGGCUCAACCUGGGCAUUGCAGCGCGAACUGUGAGACUUGAGUGCGCAGGAAGUAGGCGGAAUUCGUCGUGUAGCGGUGAAAUGCUUAGAUAUGACGAAGAACUCCGAUUGCGAAGGCAGCCUGCUGUAGCGCAACUGACGCUGAAGCUCGAAAGCGUGGGUAUCGAACAGG
RNAcentral lists this ribosomal RNA (757 nucleotides) under uncultured bacterium. RNAcentral describes it as "bacterial SSU rRNA". It matches the Rfam family "Bacterial small subunit ribosomal RNA", at positions 28 to 776 of the family's 1533-position model. The record is from RNAcentral.